Molecule: transfer RNA, 3862 nt
Filed under: Sus scrofa (pig)
Lineage: Eukaryota; Metazoa; Chordata; Mammalia; Artiodactyla; Suidae
Description: lncRNA (ENSSSCG00015018326.1)
Source: RNAcentral
CGCUUUCAAUAUGAUACUCAAGGGCUAGGAGCAAGCCCCUAACAAAGUAGUAAACCUACUGGGGCUGUGCCCAGCUUGACUGCAGGUGUUCUCUCUCAUGAUCCAUUGCUCAACUUGUGGAUGAGACACAACAUAGCCACUUUACAGCCGCACGGAGGAGCAAAGGAAGGGAUAUGGCAAAGAAAGAGACAACCAGGAGUUCCCGUUGUGGCGCAGUGGUUAACGAAUCUGACUAGGAACCAUGAGGUUGCAGGUUCGAUCCCUGGCCUUGCUCAGUGGGUUAACGAUCCGGUUGCCGUGAGCUGUGGUGUAGGUCGCAGACGCAGCUCAGAUCCUGUGUUGCUGUGGCUCUGGCGUAGGCUGGCAGCUACAGCUCCGAUUCGACCCCUAGCCUGGGAACCUCCAUAUGCCGCGGGAGCGGCCCAAAGAAAUGGCAAAAAGACAAAAAAAAAAAAAAAAAAAAAAAGAAAGAGACAACCAGACCAGACUACGGGAAAGGAAGGGAGAGGGUGGCAGAACCCAGAAAGUUUUUUUCUUUCCUUGGGACCAUCAUAACCCCUCCCACAAGAAACUUCAGUAAGUCCAUCAGCUAUCCUUCAAGGACAAGUUCCUGCUACUGUCACAACUCCAGUUCAUCUUAAAUCUGAUGAAGUUUUAAACAAGCAUAAAUUACUAAAUGAGACAAACUGGGGAGUUCCCUGGUUGUCUAGUGGUUAGGACUUGGCGCUUUCAGCACUAGGCCCAGGUUUAAUCCUGGUCUGGGAACUGAGAUCCCACAUCAAGCCGCAGCACCUACCAGCCAAAAGUGGGGAGCAGGGGAGACACACAAUCAUCUGGGGAAGAUAGGUAUUUACAAAUUACUUACCACUCCCCUUCCCCCAAAGAAGGGGAAGAAGAAGGCAGACCGGAAAAAAAAGAAGAACCAUCACAAAGCAACUCUAAAAGGACAGCUCUGCCUCUGGGAUAUGGAGAACCUGUACUCCCUCAUCUCCACUGCAACUUUGGCCAUUUACCAUUUGCUGCUACUGCUGAAGGGCAGUAGGAAUGUAGAAUCUGAGUUAAUUCCUUCAGUUUACAAGGCAAUUUAUUUUAAUUACCUGAAUAAUAAAACACUACCGGCUUUAAGACUUCUGUCAAAUCUUGGAGUUGAUUCUUUUUUUAUUUAAAGAUCUACUUCUAGGGAGUUCCCGUUGUCGUCCUGGUGCAGGGAAAACAAAUCCAACUAGGAAGCACAAUCCCUGGCCUCACUCAGUGAGCUGAAGAUCGAUCCAUCGUUGCCGUGAACGGUGGUGUAGGUGGCAGACGCAGCUGGAAUCUGACAUUGCUGUGGCUGUGGUGUAGGCCACUGGCUACAGCUCCAAUUAGACCCCUAGCCUGGGAACCUCCAUAUGCUGUGUGGCCCUAAAAAGACAAAAAAAAAAAAAGAUCUACUUCUAUAGGAAAAGAAGAUGUUGAAGAACCUCACUGUCAAAACUAGGUCAAAGUUAUAAAGUUCCGGGAGUUCCCGUCGUGGCGCAGUGGUUAACGAAUCCGACUAGGAACCAUGAAGUUGCGGGUUCGGUCCCUGCCCUUGCUCAGUGGGUUAACGAUCCGGCGUUGCCGUGAGCUGUGGUGUAGGUUGCAGAUGCGGCUCGGACCCCGCGUUGCUGUGGCUCUGGCGUAGGCCGGUGGCUACAGCUCCAAUUCAACCCCUAGCCUGGGAACCUCCAUAUGCCGCGGAAGUGGCCCAAGAAAUUACAACAACAAAAGACAAAAAAAAAAAAAAAAAAAAGUUAUAAAGUUCCACACAAAAUAGAAGUUUAAAGAAAGAAGUCAACAGCUUUCUCAACAGUUUUUAUCCCCAUCUAUAACUGUCUUUGGAUUCAUACAAUACAAAACGACCAGCAUUAAGGCAGCAAACAACAUGCCUCCUCUGUUUUUUCCAAAUAAGUCUUCAUUGAUAAACUCACUUUCUAAGCUCUUUCUCCAGUUUAAAAGUUCCAUGGCUAGUUUAAGUUAUGGCAACUCAAGCAGUUCUAUUUCUGCACUUCCUAAUUAAAAACUUAUCAGAGAACUGAUUUUUAACCAAAGUCAGAAACAGAGAGUUAGCAGAGAGUAAUUCAUGAUUAGACUAUAGAAACAAAGAGAACAUUCCACAGAGGCAAACUACCCAGUUUCCCCCUUCAGUGCUGCAACUCCAGGAAUCUAAUGAUCCUUCACUUAUUCAAAAAUGAACAUGAUAGUAAAAUUCCCUAAUGUUGACAGUAGGUGAUUUUUAACUUCACUGCUGUCUGACAGGCACCUACAGGCUUUACCUGGCCUCAAUCUGUCCAGUUUGGAACGCCAAUUAGUAGCUCCUCAAAAGCAAAUCUCAACGUAAGCCAUUAAAAAAAGUGCUUUUCAAAGUGUCAAAAACAAUGGAUCAGUCAAACUCAGCACAUUAGAACUAAAUAAAACCUGGGUGCCCAACAGAGGCUGCAACUGUCAAAGCCAAGUGACAAAGAACAUCAUUCUCAAGCAAAGAAAGGAUCAAACUCUCAAAACAGUUGUGAUACCGCCCCUCCCCCUUAAAUACAAAGAAUACUGCAGCAAUCAAACAAGUGUCUUCAUUAGUAAACUUAGCCUUUCUCUCGACUGAGGUUCCACAGUAAAGAAUUAAGCACUAAUAUCCUAAGGCACAGGUUGGCAAACCUUCUCUGUAAAUAUUUUAGGCUUUUCAGACCACCUGGUCUCCGUCACAACUACUCAAUUCUGCUACUGGAGCUUGAUAGAAGCUGCCAACAGUUAAGCAAAUGAAUGAGAGUGACUGUUCCAAUGAAACUAUGUGGACACUGAAAUUUGAAUUUCAUAUAAUUUUCACAUAAAUAUUAUUCUACUUUACAAUGAUUUAAAAACAUAAAAACAUUCUUAUAAAAAAAUUUCUUAGUUCUUUGGCUAGAUUUGGCUCUACAGGUUUGCUGAUCUAUUCCCUAAAGCAUCCUUUGUAUCUAAUAGAUAAACUUCUCUCUUACGCAUUUACAAUGAUGCUAAUUACAUACUAUACUACACAGAAUUGAGAAAACAGUCAUUCGAAUCAGUUUCUGUAUCUACAGCACUCUGUCCAGUAUGAAGCUAACUUACAAAUUUUAUUAGCACUUGUUAACUUGGGCAAAUAACUUUAUACAAGUUACACAUUACCUUUCUUUUUUUCUUUUUUUCUUUUUAGGGCUGCCUCUGUGGCAUAUGGAAGUUCCCAGGCUAGGGGUCAAAAUGGAGCUGCAGCUGUCAGUCUAUGCCACAGCCAUAGCAACGCCAGACCUGAGCCCCGUCUGCAACCUACACCAUAGCUCAGGGCAACGCCAGAUCCUUAACCCACUGAGUGAGGCCAGGCAUCAAAUCUGCAUCCUCAUGGAUACUAGUAGGGUUUGUGAACUGAUGAGCCAAAAUGAGAACUUCCACAAGUUACUUUUCUUAAAGUCUCAAUAUAUAAAAAUACAAAAAGGAACUUUCUCAUCCAGUACAAUGUCAAUGGACAAUAUAAAUCACACUGCUGCAAGUUAAAUCUCUGGUUAAUAUACACAAAUAAUAAACUCUUUUAGUAAAGCCCAGAAUUAAAUUCAUCUUUCCAUCCAUUUUGUAUCUUCAGAUAUUGUUUAUUCUUAAAGUAGAACCUACCUGAAUAAAAAUCACAAGUAUAAAUUAUAAGACCGCCUGAGACACUUACUAUCUAGAUUUGCCUUCCAGCUCCACUUCUUUCCAGACGAGUGAGCUUAAACAAGUUCCAGGCACUCUUUACUCAUCUGUUAAGAAGAGGAAAUACUUGCAACCCUCUAAGAAGAGUCAAAAGUAUCCAAUAAAAUUUAGGCAAAAGAGUUUGUAUACUAUAUAGUGCUACAGAAAUAUC